Molecule: ribosomal RNA, 774 nt
Filed under: uncultured Neocallimastigales
Lineage: Eukaryota; Fungi; Neocallimastigomycota; Neocallimastigomycetes; Neocallimastigales
Description: partial large subunit ribosomal RNA
Rfam family: Eukaryotic large subunit ribosomal RNA
Source: RNAcentral
UCAGACGAUGCGUCAUGCAUAUCAAUAAGCGGAGGAAAAGAAACUAACAAGGAUUCCCCUAGUAACGGCGAGUGAAGCGGGAAGAGCUCAAAUUUGAAAUCUUAAAGGGUUUCCCUUUACGAAUUGUAGUUUAAAGAAGUGUUUUCUGUUGAGGUUUUGGUAAAAGUUCUUUGGAAUAGGACAUCAUAGAGGGUGAGAAUCCCGUAUUUGACCUUUACUUUCAACUUUGUGAUACACUUUCAAAGAGUCGGAUUGUUUGGGAAUGCAGUCCAAAAUGGGUGGUAAAUUUCAUCUAAAGCUAAAUAUUGGCGAGAGACCGAUAGCGAACAAGUACCGUGAGGGAAAGAUGAAAAGAACUUUGAAAAGAGAGUUAAACAGUACGUGAAAUUGUCAAAAGGGAAGCGUUUGACACCGGUGUUGUUUUUCUGAAAAUCAAUUAAAGAACUGUUUAUGCUAAGCUGUUUAGACUUUAUCAGCUAUCUGUUUAGUUUUGAGCUUUUCUUUAAUGCACUUUUCAGUUAACAAGUCAACAUCAAUUUCUUUUGCUGUAAAAAAGCUUGAGGAAGGUGGCUUGAGAUUCGUCUUAAGUGUUUAUAGCCUCUUGCCUAUGCAGUCGGAGAGAUUGAGGUCUGCAGCGUAGAUCCUUCGGGGCUAAAUGCAUUUGUGCUAAGUUAUAGCAUUUCAUAGACAACUUGUUGACUAUGAUUUGUCUUGUAGCUUACUCGCUUAUGUUAUUUUACCUACGCUUAGGAUGUUGAAUCUGUGCGAGACUAC